UUCCCUGUUUCUCACAUUCCACCCACUCCCCCUGUCCAGCCUACCCCACAUCCCCCACCAACACUACCCAAGCAGCAGAGCUUUGGGGUGAAGCCACCCCCCUCUCCACUGUCCCCUGUGCCCUCAGUUGUGAAGCAGAUGGCCAGUCAGUUUCCACCCCCUCCCACUCCUCCUCCUGUGGACUCUCAGCCCCUAAAACCUCUCCCAGCAAGUGUCACCCCACAGUCCCCUCCUGCAGUAAAAGCAAAACCCAAAUGGCAGCCCAGUUCAAUCCCUGCCCCUUCUCCAGAUUUCCCUCCUCCCCCUCCUGAAAGCAGCCUGGUAUUUCCUCCACCACCUCCUCCAGCCCCAGUCCCACCACCACCACCACCACCACCUCCACCACCACCACCACCACCAGUGUCACCUAUGGCUUCACCUACCCCUGACAAAGGUGGAUCUCCAGGCAAAAAGACAAGUAAGAUGUCCAGCCCUGGGGGGAAGAAACCACCCCCAACCCCGCAGCGCAACUCCAGCAUUAAGUCCGGCAGUUGUGCAGAGCACCCUGAGCCCAAGCGACCCUCGGUAGACAGUCUAGUCAGCAAGUUUGCACCGCCAGCAGAAUCAGGGUCUCCCAGCAAGGAGACCCCACCACCUCCUGCAGCACCCCCCAAACCUGGGAAACUACACCUUUCUGGAGUCAACCUCCCUGGAAUCCAUCAGCAAGGGAUUUUGUCGGCAAAACCCUCUGUUCUAAGUGGGCGUGGAAAGGACGCCGUGGUGGAAUUUCCAUCUCCACCAUCUGAUUCUGACUUUCCACCCCCUCCUCCUGAAAUAGAGCUUCCUCUACCCCCUAUCGAGAUUCCAGCUGUCUUCUC
RNAcentral lists this long non-coding RNA (857 nucleotides) under Rattus norvegicus (Norway rat). Its description in RNAcentral is "long non-coding RNA NONRATT030085". The record is from RNAcentral. Lineage: Eukaryota; Metazoa; Chordata; Mammalia; Rodentia; Muridae.